UGUAAGCGUAUACCAAAGUUGUUGCAGUUAAAACGCUCGUAGUCGGAAUUUGGCAGUUCCGGAUGUGUGCACGUCGUGUGCGCACUUCGCGGGGAUUGCUUUUGUGGUCUUGCGUAGGAUGAGGCACUUUUAUUAGUGAACGUCCUCACGCAACCACUUUUUACUGUGAGAAAAUCAGAGUGCUCAAAGCAGGCAUUUGCCGUGAAUGUAUUAGCAUGGAAUAAUAGAAUAGGACUUGGUUCUAUUUAGUUGGUUUGUUGGGACUGAGUAAUGAUUAAGAGGGACAGUUGGGGGCAUUUGUAUUUCGGUGCUAGAGGUGAAAUUCUUAGAUUACCGAAAGACAAACUGCUGCGAAAGCGUCUGCCAAGGAUGUUUUCAUUGA
RNAcentral lists this ribosomal RNA (382 nucleotides) under uncultured eukaryote. RNAcentral describes it as "partial 18S ribosomal RNA". It matches the Rfam family "Eukaryotic small subunit ribosomal RNA", at positions 592 to 976 of the family's 1831-position model. The record is from RNAcentral.